This is a long non-coding RNA of Quercus robur (English oak), 1463 nucleotides long. RefSeq lists it as uncharacterized. The record is from RefSeq and is a predicted model, not a curated record. The transcript has 2 exons. NCBI's taxonomy places the organism in Eukaryota, Viridiplantae, Streptophyta, Magnoliopsida, Fagales, Fagaceae.
CCAAACCCAGAAAAUGAAGAACAAAACACAGAUAACGAAAAACAUGAGAUUAAGUAAACAACAAUCCAAGUUUUCUUUAACACAAGUAAAACAAAUCCAUCAAACUUUUUUGUUAAACCAAAAAAAAAAAAAAAAAAACUGAUCCCUCCACCAGCCAACUGCAAAUCAAUAUUACUCAACGAAAAAAAAAAAAAAAUUUAGCUUCCAAAAUCCACACCAUAAACCCCAAAAUCACUUCACACUAAACCAUGAACACAAAAAAUUCCAGAAAGCCAAUUCAUUUGAAUGACACAUGCCUCCUUCUAUAUCACCCACCAAACUCAAAAACCGAUCCACUUCAACCAUGAACAUUCUAAUCCAAAUGGUACUUGGGCCAAAUUCAUACACAAAGCCAUCCCGAUUCACCAAACCCACACCCAAUUCAACUAUCUGUUUCGUUGGUGACCAGAUCUGAAAGAUCACGCCGAGAUAGCUCGAUCUGGGUUCACCCAUUUUGCCUCUUUAGAACAAGCAGCGGUUGCAGUUAGCUGUAACGUCGGACCAGCGGGUGGGCGUGGAAGAGACAUCUUUAGUGAAUUUGAACUCACUGAUUGCGACCUAGAGCUUGCCCCGCUGCGUGAUUGGACAGUGGUGGGUUUAUGGUUUCUGGGCUUCUUGAUGACAGACGGAAAUGAGGAGCUGCUUGUGGGUUAUAUAUGGCAUAUAGGUUGUUCAUCUAAGUGGGUUUGUUGUUUCAUCUCUCCGUGUUGUUGUUUUUUUCUGGGUUGUAAAUUUGUGGGUUUGAUGUUCAUCUCUGUGGGUUUGAUUUUAAUAUCUGGGUCUUGUUCUUCAUUUCCAGGGUUUGGUGUAGCUCAUGAAAGAGGAGGCAUUUGGGUCAUUUCAAGUGGGGUUAGUGGCUUCCACUUAAGCACCACCCAGUUGAGUUGUGCAUGACUGUAAUCUCGACCAAACUUAACCGGUAAAUAGACGGAGGGUGGAAAGUGUACUAUCUAUCUAGAAUAAAUUUUUCUAAGAGAACAAGUGACUCGUUGAAUGAAGCUGUUGUGAGAAUGACAGUGGGAAAGCUGGUUGCAUGAGGAACUAGAUCAUCAAAGAUGGUUCCUUUACCAAAAUUGGCCACACCAUGGAGAGCCUCAGACCACCACUCAUACUUAGGCAGUGCCAAUCUAGGCACCCCUUCAGCACUAUUUCCUAGCUGUGCUAUCUUUUCAGGUAGUGUCAUUUGUCUCACGAGAUCUUUCGCCCUAACACUGUAGGGAAGCUUUGAGUCACAAAAUGCGAAUCUUGACAUGUCCAGAUUGAGUUUGGCAUAUCUGGAAGGAUCACAUACAUAAGCGAAGUCACUGCCAGUUGGGGUGAGAUCAUCAGGUCUAAUUUUUGAGACUGCUUUUCUCACAUCUGUACUAAUCACAAAGGAAGCAAUAGUGAAAGAGAUACAAAGAAGAAAAAAAAGAAAAAAAAGA